UUUUUGUUGCGAAAACGAGAGGGAAACGUCUGGUUGCUUAGGAAUGAGGAGAUUAGCUGGUGAUUCUCUUGAGGAGGUUACAGAUCUUUUUUUGGUUGUUACUGGAGAGGCGAGAUAAGCUUGAGGGGCAAGACAACUUGAGAAAAAAAAAUAUUGAGAAAGAUUACCAAAGAAGGGAAUAGAGUUGCAGGGGAAAAGGAAGCUGAAGAAAAUCAACUGAGGAAAGGGAAGGUAAGGAGAAGAAAGAAAAGGAAAAUUUGAGUGAGGUGAAUAUUUUUUGGAGGGUUACAAAGAAGAAGAGAAACCAAAGGAAAAGAGCAAAGGGAUGGUACAGCCAGAUGACAGUUCGUGGGUUUUCUGGGGAACUUCUAGAGAGAGAAUAACAAGAAGUCCAGCACACCUUGUUGGAGAGGAUCACUUUCAGGUAUGUUUAUUGUGGAUUUCCCAUUCAUUCCCACCGGUAUGUUCUUCUUCUCUUUUUCUGCUGAUUCUUGGAUGUUGUUUGUUGAUUGGGAGUAGACAUUGAAGAUUACAUGUUUGUUUCUACUGAUCUCUAUGUUGUUUUGUUUGUGUUAUAUCAUGUUCAUAUCUCUCUUUUUAAUGGUUUUUGUUGAGAAUCAGUUUGGCCCUGUUUAAGUUUCCUCAUGAGAUAUCUGCAACCAUGUUUUGAUUUUCAUUUAAUACCCGUUUAAUUUCAUUCACCCAUAUCUAAGCCCGUUGAUUGAAAUGUGAAACGUGGCUUGUACGGAUUUAUUUAUUUAUUUUUCUACCCAUGGUGCCCUGUUUUGUUGUCUUCCCCUAUUCCUGGUACCCGUCCAUGGUAUGCAUCAAUUUUCUCAUUUAUGUCUGAGAGAGCAAGGAACUAUAGAGGAUGUAUUCUUAGUAUGUGAGUAGGAAAGGUUACAGCAUCACAUCCAGCAAUGUCAAUGGACCCAUUUCAACUGUUGUUUCUGAAGUUGAUAGGGUCCAGAAUUUGGAUGUGUCAAAAUCCUUAAUGAGCAAAAACAAGUUGUACCAGAGGUAUCUCAAAAGGAGACACAGGGCAUGCAAAGUUACACUCCUUCCUCAAAGACACGUACUAAGGUGUAAUGGCAGGGAGUAGCAGUCGGUCGUGCUAUUGACUUGACUGCAUUGGAAGGAUAUGAUGAGCUUAUAAGUGAGCUGGAGAAAAUGUUCGAGAUCAAAGGAGAGUUUUGCCAUCGGAAUAAAUGGGAAGUUGUUUUCAUUGAUGAUGAAGGAGAUAUGAUGCUUGCGGGUGAUGAUUCAUGGCAGUUCACAGGCACCAUAGUUGGAAUUGGAGAUAUUUCUCCUUAGUGGUCAAAUUCUAAAUGGCGUUCAUUGAAGAUUCAAUAGGAUGAACCUACAACCAUUCAAAGACUAGAGAGGGUAUCUCCAUGGGAUAUAGAGCCUUUUUUAGCUUCUGCUUCAUUCAACCUUACUCAACCACCAGUAAAGAUCAAGAGGCCUGGGCCUCUUGAUCUUCCAUUUGCUGAAAAUACUUCCAGUUUAGUUCCUUCCCUUUUCUGGUAUACUGUAUCAGCCCUAUCUCAUGAACUAAUCCAGUUAGGUGGUGUGACUGAAAUCCAAAACAAUGAAAUCCAGGUACUCCGACCUCCGAAGCUAAAAGAAAUUGAUGGUAAUGUUAUCCACAACAGCAACUGUGGCAGCUCCAUCAGGCAGCCCGAAGACAUAUGGUUUUCUUUUCUUUCAGUGAACGUCUCUUUAAACCUGUUCCAGGACUUAACAGAAGACAACAACACUGUGUCAACAAGAUCUAUUCUAUGUGGCUACAACAUUUCUUUGUCAUCAAGGCCUAACAAUGACCUAAUAUCUUAUCAGGUUGAAAAAAAGAAACAAAUUGAAGCUUUUAUUGACUACUGAUUGUUUGGGAUUGAUCUGACAAAUAGCUCUAAGGACACUACUCUUCUGGAGAUGUCAUGUCCUAGUUAUUCUAUGAGGUUGGACUCCAUCCUGGUGUUCUAAAUGUGGAUUUCGGAUUUGGUCCUACAGUUGGGGCAGCUAUUUCCAGUCAUAUGGAUGUGGACAAACGCUUCAAGAUCUUUCGCUUUUGGGAUUUUCCAAGCGUCGAUGAUUUUUUUUUCAGGGAGCAUUUGUAAAUAAUUUUCCAAAUCUCGGUUUUUCAAAUAACUCAACUCUUUAAUUUUUCAUUCUUAGAAUUUUUAAGUCAUAAAAAUCUCAUUUUCAAUAAAAUUUUGCUGCCAUUUUUUUUCCGGCAAGCAAUUUUUACACUUUCCUUGUUUUUUUAAAUGUUUUAAAAUAAGCAUGAAUUCAAUUAUGUAAUUCCAAAUGUUGGAAUUUAUGAAAUUGAUUCAUGCAAAAAUAAACCGGGCUUUGGUGGGGGCCCAACAUCAGUGAUAUUUUUUUUCAUUGACUGAUUUAUCGUCAUGCUUGAUUGAUUUACUUUGUGACACGUGCAAUUAUUCUGUUUUCGUUUACUAACCUUUGUUUUCCAUUAAGCAAUCAUCUUAUUACUCAAGUACACUCUUUGUCUCUCUUGUUCAUUCGCUUAUUUUUAGAUUGAUAUUCUUUGGGUACCCAUGUUUGAUCAAUCAAUUGUCAUACGUGUUUCAUUUUAUUUAGUAGAGACUCAUUUUAGGGUCUUAGAGGGGUGCUAUGGUUUUUAUCGUACAUUCUCAAUAAGUAACCUGACCCCUAAGCCCAAAUUUGGUUUUUUUCACAAACCACCUUUUCCAAAUAAGGAGUCACACUUAAAAUUUUCUUUCUUAUUUUGUUUUCCUUUUAAAAAUAAAACAAAAAUAAGUGGCAACUCUAAGUCAUUUUCUAAAAAAUAAAUCUUUUUCAAAUAAAAAGUGAGUUCUCCAUCGAGUGGAAGCGCAUGAGUAGAAAUACAGGGUCCAAAAAAUGGCAACUCCACUAGGGAUCACUAGAGGGUCAAGCUUAAACAUAAGUUGGGGCAAAUGUGGCAUUUGAUUGGUCAAUCAAUAGGUACACACCUCUCUUUGUGCUUUUAUUUGCUUGAUUGUUGAUUGCAUAUUGAAAGCUUUUGAUAUCAUUAUCCUUGAUGCAUGUUUGGUUAUUGUAUUCGUUUGAGGCAUUGGUAUGUUGAUUAUAUUGAUUGAUCAUUUUGCCUAUCCUCGCAUAUUGACUCUCAUUGCUGUAUGAUUACUUUACUCAUCCCGACUUGUAUAUUCUUAGUGUUGUUUAUAUUUUUCAUCUUAAUAUCUUGAUUUUUUCUAUUAUACACCAUUUUGAUCACCUCUGAGCAUGCCAUUUAUUCUUGUUAUAUAUUCAUCAUGAUUUUCAUAUUCUUGAUUAGCUUGUGCGUGGACAUGGAUGAUAUAUCUGUGCUUUGCUUGACUGUCUGUUGCAUGACUGCUUUUCUCCUGUGUGAUUACAUGUUGUUUGUCUGUGUGGGUUGCACAUCUAUCCCCUUACCUCCAACCCUCUAGUUUCAAUCAUUUCCUUCAUUUUGGUUCUCACUUUUUCAAGUGUGAGGCCUUAUGUGUGCUUGUUCCUCUGACCGAGCUAGAUGUUAGGAGUAAGGUUUAGCGACGGGCUAUAUCGAUGUUUGGGAGCAUUCUAAAGCAGGCCGACACACUGAUGCUAAUCAAAGUCUGAUCUUUGAAGACCUGUAUAGCCUAGAGCUAGGUUUCAUGGAUAUUUGUACGAUCAAUGUGUUUCAUCUUUUGCUUUAGUUUCAUAAGAUUUUCGAAUGCACCCACACCGCUCACUAUGCACUUUAGUUGACUAUUGAGCAUUGAGAGCUAUGAGAACUUUCGUCAUAGGAAACCCCCUAGGAUGUCGAGGUAGUGCAUGUGUGGAGGUGAUGACCACCUUGCAUGGAAGCACCCCGUCUCUUCAGAGGCGUGCAGAGGGUUGCGUAUUGCCAGAGGGUAUGAUCGCUUCUGCUAGGGAUCUUUUAAAGUCCACCCAUAUCCUUUUAGAGCCACCCUGACCUUAUAGGUUAAGCUUUAGAUCCUUCGUCUAAGAUUUCCCUCCCUACACGUGGGUGCAUCUAAGGGCCUUCAGAGCCUCUAUGGCUACAGUUUGGGUUCAGUACUUCCUCUUUUGGUCUCUAGUUAAGAGUGCACAGAAAUUAGUACAAGUUUGAGUUACAGUCGAACAGUCUGUCUACACUUUGAUGUCUUGCUCAUUUCAGUUCAGAUUAGUAUAUCUUCUGUGUUUUUCCCAUGCCAUACUUUUAUUUCGUUCUUCAUGCUUUCCAGGAUCGACUAUUCAUUCUCAGUCGGGAUUUACCAUUUUGGGUUAGAUUAGAGGGAGAUUAGUUCGAUUUUCUGAAAGAUUAGACAUGAAUCAACAAGUUGUCAUGGUUGACCAGUUCACGAUCGCCAUGACUUCUAUUCAGGAGGCCUUAGCUAAUCUCAGGCAGGAGAUAGGCAGUUAGCAGAGUAGACCGCCCAUAGUUCAGGAUGAAAUGCCUUAUGAUUCAUUGUCACUUCCACCACCACCACCUGGUCCUACAAUGCCACAGGCCCUACCAUAUAUAUUACAUUCAUUCUGAGGUUGUUCCACCUGCAGUAGUACGGACCACAGUCAUUGAGGAUACUCACGCACGCAUGGACCGUAUUGAGCAGCGUAUCAUACAAUUGAGGGUAUCUGACAGUUCAACAGCUUGGGAUGAUCUUGAGGAUAUACCAGUGGCCAGUUUACCGAUCAAGUUUAGGAUGCCUGAGAUUAAGAGGUACACGGGCAUUGGUUGUCAUUGCAUUCACCUUCGACUUUAUAGUACAAUGAUAAGGGCCCAUGGGUUAGAUGAGUCAUAGAUGAUCACCUUGUUCCCAUUAUCUCUGAGUGAAGUGGCCUAGCAUUGGUUCGCAUAUUUGGAGUCCUUACGAUGCAGGACAUGGGACGACUUAACCCAGGAGUUUUUGCAACAGUUUUCAUUUAAUAUUGUCAUAGAUGUGUCGAGGAGAGAGCUUGAGGCUUGGAGAUAGAGAUUGGAUGAGUCUGUUUCUUCCUUCCUUUCCUGCUGGCAGGGGAAGAUAGCAAAGAUUGUAGAUAGACCAUCAGAGAGAGACCAGAUACAUAUGGUUUUGAGGAGUCUAUAGCCCAGGAUUGUUAGACAUGUGGUCAGACCCUUUGCAGACUUCAGUGCUUUGGUUUUAGCUUUGUAUGAUGUUGAGGAUGUCAUUUCGGGAAGAUUAUGGAUAGAUUCUUCCAUUGUUGAUGCUAAGGGGAAGAAACCAUCCGGAGAGCAUAGAUCAGCUGAAGUGGGCACUGAUGUGGGCACUAUCACUUCUACUAGUCAGAGGCCUCCCAGGCGUCAUCAGCCAGUACCAUAGCCUACUGGGACUCACCCUUCUUAUCAUCUUCAAUAGUAUAGGCCACGAGCACCUCCUCAGUUAUAUGAUCAGACCUACUUGCCUCCCAUACUAGCAUUGCCUUACUAUGCCGCAUAGGGCACAGAGAGACCUUCUGCUUCAUAUCCUACCCCAGCACAGCCAUGCUACGCAACACAGAUUGUCGCGAGACCUACAACUUCCUAUCCUAGACCUAUAACUCCAUAGACUUCAGCUCAUUUUGCUUUGAAGACAUAGAGACAAUUUUUACAAUUGAGUAUGUCAUUGAGCCAGGCUCAUCAGAAGCUCACAAAUGCUGGAUUGUUGAUAACUCUUGCUCUUAGGCCAUUGCCUUAGCUUGUCCUGCCACAGUUCAUGAUGGAUUUACAUUGUGCAUAUCAUCAAGAGCCAACGCACGAGACAAACCAUUGUAUUACUUUGAGACAUGCCAUCCAAGAUUUGAUUAAUCAGGGUUUGGUUCACUUGGGUCAGCCGAGUGUAACCACAAACCCAUUAUCGACCCAUACUACACACACAGUUCCUCCUCCAGCCAGUGACAUACAUUUCAUUGACUUUGUUGAGCUUGAUGAUCAUAUCCACAUACUGAGUUGGGAUGAGUCAGAGUCGGAGCCUAUAGUAACAGAUGGGAUCAUUGGGGGAUUUAGUACUGUUUAGGAGGUCGAGCUUCAGCGUCUUGUCCAUCAACUGCAGUUGAGUGAUGGAGCUCCUGGCGCUUUUACGUCUACAUUGGCCGCCCCAUCAUUUCCAAAUUAUAUGAGCCUCAUAACACUCUAUUUCCCGGAUGAGGUCGAUAAGCAUGAGACAUUUGCCGAGAUUGGGGACAUGGUGGAUGGGGCUAUUCCACAUGACGAGUACAUCGAUGAGAUGCUCACGAUGAGUAUAACCUAGAUCGAUGGGAUAGUUUAGCCUGAGUUAAUUUGCCAUUUGAUCUAUUUAAGGUGUUCGUCAUUGAAGUUGUAGAGGAGAUCUAUACUACUAUUGUUAUGGAGUUUUCAUAUGAUGUUAUAGUUGUUGAUGAUUUGUUUGAGGGCACUACUGGCCCAGUUGAGGGAGUGUCCAACUUUGUGGACCCACCUCUUUCAUUUGAUGUUUUAUCGGGAUUUGUCUCCCGUUCUGACGAUGUUCAUGAUUUUUUAUUUAUGAAUUUGAGCAUUUUUUAGUAUCUUCCUAUCUCUUGUGAUAUCACUUUGUUUGCACUCUCUUCACCCAUAUUACAGAUAUUUGAUAUAGAUGAUGAGAUUUCAUAACAUGAUUCAGAUGAUGACUCAUCUUCUACUUUUGAUCCAGGCCCCAUUGAUCAGAGAGUUUCACCUGCUACAGGAGAUACAAUGGUUGUUGAUUUUGGUAUAGCAGAUCGGCUUAGGGAGUUGAAGAUCGGAUUGGACUUAUCUACAAAUAAGAUAAAUAACCUCAUCUAGUUGCUUAGAUCUUAUUUGAAUGUUUUCGCAUGGUCUUACGAGGACAUGCUAGGCCUUGAUCCAUCUAUAGUCCAACAUCGUUUACCAUGACAGACCAGUUAAGUAGAAGUUGAGACAAUUGCACCCUAGUUGGAGUUUGCAGGUAAAGGAGGAGAUUCAGAAGUAGCUCAGUGUAGGAUUUUUAUCAGUGGUCGAGUAUCCCAAGUGGUUGUCCAAUGUCGUCCCUAUUCCCCAAAAGAACGGCAAUGUGAGAGUUUGUGUUGAUUUUCGAGAUUUUAACAAGGCCAGUCCUAAGGAUGAUUUUCCUUUCCCACACAUUGACAUGCUAGUUGAUAGUAUGGCAGGUCAUUCGAUGUUGUACUUUAUGGACGGAUUUUUUGGGUACAAUAAGAUUCUGAGGGCUCCAGAGGACAUGGAGAAAACGUCUUUCAUUACCGAGUGGGGUACUUAUUGCUAUAGAGUCAAUACAUUCGGGUUGAAGAUUGUAUGAGCUACCUAUCAAAGAGCAACGACCAAUUUCUUCUAUGACAUGAUGCAUCGGGAUGUUGAGGUUUAUGUAGAUGACAUGAUAGUGAAAUCACGAGAUAGAGCAGAUCACCUAGCAGCUUUGGAGAGAUUCUUUGAGAUCAUCAAACAGUUCAGACUGAGACUGAAUCCCAAGAAGUGCACUUUUGAAGUGACUUAUGGGAAACUGAUGGGAUACAUGGUCAAUGAAAGGGGUAGAGAGGCAGAUCUAGAUAAGAUCAAAGUCAUCCUUGACAUGCCUGCACCGAGGACCGAGAAAGAGAUCAGAGGCUUCUUAGGUAUACUUCAGUACAUCAGUAGAUUCAUUGCUAGAUUGGUAGACCUCUAUAAGCCCAUUUUUCGACUUUUGAAGAAGAGUCAACCUACUGUUUGGGAUGAUCAGUGCCAAUGCACAUUUGAGAGGAUCAAAGAGUACUUGUUGUCACCUCCAGUUUUGGUGCUUCCUACACCAGGUCGUCAUUUACUGUUAUACUUGUCAGUCUCAGACGUAGCUGAUUACUACUCAAAAAGUGCUAUUUUGUAGCUUGUAAUUAAUCCUUUUAAACACUUUUGAGUAGUAGUUAUUGCCUUUUAACUCAAUUAACAUGUUAAGGACCAUUGCAAUCAUUUCUAAUCAAAUUGUGUAAGUUUUGAUGUUUUUGUUAGUAAUUUGAUCACCAAAACAAUCCAAGAAUGAAGGAGAAUUGUAUAUAGUUCAUGGCAAAGCAAUGAAGAGCUCAAAUUCAUGAAGAACCAAGCUUUGGAGCUCCAUAGUCCUUUGCCAUAGUCGUUCAAAGUAUGCAAGGAGAGAAGCAAGGAAAGAGGAAAAACAGAGUGAAGAAAACAGAGGAAAGCUAGCUGCAGUCUUCUUUUGCACUUUUGGAGCACUUCCCGAAGUCCAUUUUCUACAUUCUAUAUACCAUUUCAAAGCUCAGGAAGUCAAGAAUCCAAUGCUUCAAACGGUGCACGAUUCAGAGUUGAAACGAAGGAGUUACAGCCAUUUCAAGCAGAUCACUCCAAAGUGUUGCGGAAUCAGCCUUUUGUUGCGAGAAUUUCGCAGCCUUUUUGUACAGUGCUAUGGAAUUCCUCCUGAAGCUACCCGAUACAUGCCGCAAGCUGGAACGCUGAGAACCUCAAGGAGGAAGCCAAUUUCGCAGCCCUGCGAGUUUAACUUGUUGUUGCAAAAAUAUUUCGCAGCUCUCUUAAGUGUCUGCGAAAUCUCGCAGACACCAUUUUCUCCUGCGAAAUGGUCCUUAGUGCUUCCCGAUAUUUGCCACCGACUCUUUUGGAUAUUUUUCUUCAGAUAUUUUUGUAUAAAUUUCCAUUCUUCUCCUUGUAAGCCACCAACCAUAAGAUUUCUUAGCUAGGAAGGUUGGAAAAACUCCUCUAUAUAUAUUCCUUUGCAUCCACUGUAAUCAUAUCAUCAUAUAUGUAAUAUCGAUCAAUAUAUAGAAUAUACAGAGCCUUGCUCUGUUUUUCCUUCUCUUUCAUUUUUCAUUUCUUUUUCUUUCUAGCCAACCAAACUCUGAGGAUUUUUCCACAGAGGAUGAGAGGCUAAGCUUUUUGUCUCUUGGAGUGAAGAAAGCCGGGUAAGUUUCCACAUGCAUAAUUUGGAAGUUUUGUUGUUUUAGUUUUUAAUGAAGAGAAAGUGUAACCCGUUAGUGAUUUCUAUGUUUUUAGUUAACUUAAAACGCCUUUAAAUCACCUGGGCCAACACUUGGUAAGGCAAGUGAUCUCCGUCCAUGGAGAUGCACUAGUUUACCCCUUGCGAGCCUUUGGGAGGUGACUUGAAGGUAGGAUUUUCUAGAAUAGCCAACACUUGGUAAGCUUUUGGACUCCAAGGAGACAUCCAUUAGUUAUCUCUUGUGAGCUUUUGACGGGUAAUCCAAGGUUAAAGAUCACUUUGAAUGGCAAGUGUUAGGUGAGAGGUAUGAGCCAUUGCAAAGUGCAUCAGUGAGAGGGAUUUAGUGUUUGAAUCCAUUAAUGGGAAGCAUCUGUACAACACCGGUUAGAGAAUUAACUAUAUGUUAAUUCUCUAAUGCGAGGAAAAGAAACAAGUGACCGGAACUCCCUUUUUGUAUGAGGAAUCUGAGCCUAUCGAUCUGAACUCCAAGAAACACUUUUCUUUGUAGUUAAAAUCAGUUACUAUUUGUGGUUAGUUUAAAACCAAACCUUUUUCAUUUAAACAUCUUUAUGUUUUCUUUUAAAGCUAACCUUGGAAUGAAAAGGCACCAAUUCAGCUUUGAAUUGAUAUCAUUUGUGAAGUGAAAACUCAUCCCAGUGGACGAUCCUAGAGCCACUAUACUAUAGUAGCUUUGUCUUUGCUACCCUAGUAUAUGGUGUUAUAGGUUAUAAAUUUUGUUGAUUAAUCCCUCAAUCAAGGAGCACCAGCUGGACACGAAUCAGCUGGCACACCAACUGGGCAUGAAUCAAAUGGCGCCGUUGCCGGGGAUCGUACCCCGAAUCAAAUGGUGCCAUUGCCACUGCCGCUGCUAGGGACGAAUCAGUAGCUUCGGGUUGCAUGUUAGCUCAGCUCGAUGAUUCAGGAAAUGAGCGAACUAUUUAUUAUUUGAGUAAGAGAAUGUUAGAUUAUAAGACGAGAUAUGUCAUGAUUGAGCACUUCUACUUGGCAUUGGUUUGGGUUACUCGGAGACUAAGACAUUAUAUGACCGAGUAUUCAGUGCACUUGAUAUCCCGUUUAGAUCAUCUGAGAUAUUUGUUUGACAGACCCACUUUAGUUGGUCAACUCAUGAGAUGGUUGAUACUUCUGACUGAGUUUGAUAUCCAUUAUGUUACUCAAAAGUCUAUCAGAUGGAGCAUUGUUGCGAAUCACUUUGCCUCAUUACCAGUUUUCGAUGGUAGAGUUAUUGAUGAUGAUUUUCCAGAUGAGGAUGUUGCUACUGUGAUUAGUCUGUCAGGUUGCAUAUACUUUGAUGGUGCGGCCAACCAUUCUAGAUACGGGAUAGGUGUCUUGUUGAUAUCCCCUCAUGGUGACCACAUUCUUAGAUCUGUUCGUUUGGCAUUCUCAGAUCAACAUCCUGCCACGAACAAUAUUGUUAAGUAUGAGGCUUGAAUCUUGGGAUUAGAGACAACUCUUAAGCUCGGGAUUAGAUAGAUGGAGGUGUUUGGUGACUCCAAUCUGGCGUUGAGAUAGAUUCAAGAUGAGUGGAAGGCUAGAGAUGUGAAGCUUAGGCCUUACCAUGCAUACUUAGAGCUACUAGUUGGGAGAUUCGAUGAUCUGAGAUAUACACACCUACCUAGAGAACAAAACUAGUUUGUUGAUGUCUUAGCUACUCUAGCUUCCAUGAUUGAUAUUCUUGCUAAUACCGUUGUUCGCUCUUUACUAAUUGAGUCUAGAUCUGUUCCUACCUAUUGUUGUUUGCUUGAUGAUGCAAAGUUAGAUGAUGGCUUGACUUGGUACCAUGACAUAUACCGGUUUUUGAGACUUGGUGCAUAUCCUGAGGCCGCCAUGGCCAAAGAUAAGAGAGCAUUGAGACAGUUGGCUACCCGAUUUGUGAUUUGUGACAAGACUUUAUACAAACGAUUAGUUGAUGGGAUGUUGCUAUUGUGUCUAGACUGCGCCUUUACUAAUCGAGUAAUGAGAGAAGUUCAUGCGGGAGUUUGCGGACCACGCAUAGGAGGACAUUUGUUAGCCCGCAAGAUCAUGAGGACUGACUAUUUUUGGUUGACUAUGGAGACAGAUUGUUUCCAGUUUGUUUAGAGAUGUCUAGAGUGCUAGAUACAUGGGGACCUCAUUCACGUGCCACCUUCAGAGUUACAUGAACUGACUUCACCAUGACCAUUUUUCAGUAUAAGGUAUAGACAUUAUUAGGAAGAUUUCACCGAAGUCUUCCAGUGGUCAUGAGUUCAUCUUGGUUGCCAUUGAUUACUUCACCAAGUGGGUGGAGGUCGCCUCAUAUGCGAGAUUGACAUCAGUUAGGGUUGCUAGUUUCAUCAUAUCACACAUUAUCUGUUGUUAUGGAGUCCCUCAUGAGCUGAUUUCGGAUAAAAGAAUACAUUUCAAAGCAAAGGUUGACACUUUAUUACAUAGAUACGAUAUCCAGCAUCAUAGGUUGUUUGCAUACAGGCCACGAAUAAGAAUAUUAAGAAAAUCUUGCAGAGAAUGGUUGAGACUUCUCAGGAUUGGUCAAAGAAGCUCCCUUUUGUAUUGUGGGCUUAUCAAACAUCUUUUCACACCUUUAUAGGAAUCACACCCUACUCCUUGGUGUAUGGUAUGGAGAUAGUGUUACUAGUUGAGAUUGAGAUGGGUUCAUUGAGGAUAGCAUUAGAGCAGCAGAUUUCAGAGGCAGAUUGGGCUCAAACUCGAUUAGACCAACUCAAUCUCCUAGAUGAGAGGAGAUUGAGGGCAACAAACCAUGUUCGUGCCUACCAGAGGAAAAUGACCCGUGCUUUCAAGAAGCGGGUCAAGUCUAGAUCACUAUAGAUAGGUGACUUAGUUUUGAGGGUCAUCAAAGGAUUGAUCAAAGAUCCUAGAGGGAAGUUUAGACCCACUUGGAGCAAAUCUUACUUCAUUAGGGAGUUGACCCUGGAAGGCGCUGCAUGGUUGAUGGAUCUAGAUGGAAAUCAAUUCUCAGAGUUGACCAAUGUAGAUCAGCUAAAGAGGUACUACGUUUGAGACCAUGGUCGCAGGAUGGGUGGCCAUCAUUUCGGUUACUCAUAUACCCUUUCACCCUUUUGAUAUAUAGAUCGCUGCUAGCCCAUUGAGCCUCGCAUGUGCAUUAUAACCUUUCUUUCUUAUUGUCUUGGUCACAUUUUGGCACCGAGAUAGGGGUUUUUUAGCGUAUGCAUGCUUUGUUUAGGAGUUUUAUGAGCCUUAGACCUAUAGGCGCAUUCUUCUCAUUAUCUUUUCCUACCACUACAUUACUGCAUUUCAUCACAUCUCAUUGGUUGUGUUCUUCAUCUCAUCUUCUUUAUUACAUCUGUUGUUUGUUCUAUUUCAUUUUCUUCCACCCCGAGUGGUGAUCCUCCUCAGUUCAUUACAUGGAGGAUAGUCAUGUCAUUCUUGGCGUUCAAAGCCACUAUUUCUUUUCAGUUUGGCAUUCAAAGCCACCAUCUCUUCUCAGUUUUGGCGUUCAGAGCCACCAUAUCUUUUCAGUUUGAAAUUCAAAGCUAUCAGUCCAUAGUUUGGCAUUCAGAGCCACCAUUCCUUCUCAGUUUGGCAUUAAGAGCCACCUUCUUUUCAGUUUGGCGUUCAGAACCACCAUCUAUUCACAGUUUGGCAUUCAAAGCCACCAUCUCCUUAUAGGUCGACAUUCAGAGUCGUAUCUGCAAUUUGGUAUUUAGAGCCAUAUUUUUAGUUUGGCGUUCAGAGUCGUUGUUUGUUUUUAGUUCGACAUUCAAAGUCAUCCUGUCUUUCUUCCGUUUAACGUUCAGAGUCACAUCUUCAAUUUGACGUUUAGAGCCACACCUUCAAUUCAGCAUUCAGAGCCGCAACUUUAGUUGGCGUUUAGAGCCGUCGUUUGUCCUUAGUUUGAAAUUCAAAGCCAUCGUGUUUUUCUUUCGUUUGACGUUAAGAGUUGCAUCUUCAAUUCAGUGUUCAGAGUCACAUCUUUAGUUUGGCGUUUAGAGCAGUAUUUUCAUUUUGGCAUUCAAAGCCACAUCUUCAAUUAGGUGUUCAGAGUCGUUCAUUUCUAGUUCGACAUUCAGAGCCAUCAUAUCUAUUUCAGUUUUGUAGACCCUCAAUUUUAUCCUUUGACACUUGCAUUUAUCUUAGGGGUAUCACAUGCACCCAAUUUUUUUCCGUAUGGCACCGCCAUGGCCUCCUUUUGGGCUUGAUCGGUUUUUGAGCCUUGUGUAGGUUCAUCUAUGGUCUAAUGUAGUGUGAGUGUGUAGUUCAUUUUGGAGUGUCAUCAUGACCAAUUCCCUAGUUGUUCACAUCAUGAUAAAGGAAGGAAGUGAGGUCUCCCCAAAACUUCAGUUCAGUUGGAGUUCAUAGGAGCAAGUUCGAAUACGGAGCACUUGGGCUUGUUUCGAUCAUAUCUCUCUCAUCUGAACUUGGAAUCAUGUACCAUUUUUUUUAAGGACUCUUUGUUCUUCAAGGAAUAUUCUUUCAAAUUUUCAAAUUUUUUCUCAACUGGCUUGACUGGUUCCCAAAGUUUUAGUUCAGUUGGAGUUCAUUGGAGCAUGUCGAAAUUCAGAGCACUUGGGCUUGUUUCGAUCAUAUCUUCCUCAUCCAAACUCAAAAUCAUGUACCAUUUUUUUAUGGACUCCUUGUUCUUCAAGGAAUAUUCUGUCAAAAUUUCAAAAUUUUUCUCAACCGGCUCGACCGAUCCCCAAAGCUUUAGUUCAAUUGGAGACCAUGGCGGAACACACUAGAUUGUUUUAUUCAUUUCUCCCGCAUCCGAGUUCGGAAUUGCACACUAUUUCUUUUUUUUUGGAUUCCUUAUUAUUUAAGGAAUAUUGUGUCAAAAUUUGAGAAUUUUUCUCAAUCGGUCGACUGGAUGGGCAACCGGUUCAUCAAGUUUUUUUUUUAGGCGGUCGCCGGUUGGCAACCGAUUCAUCGGUUCGUCGGGGCUGCUUGCGAACGGCUCUGUUUUUAGCAUUUUUUGUGCCCUUGUUCAGGCAGGUUUGAGCCCUAGUGCUCCAGAUGGGUUAGGAGGAUGGUUUUAUGUUUGAUUUGGGCCAUUUUUUCGGGUUGAUUGCAACCCACCUUGAAUCCAUGUGGAUUCUUGGCGGGCAAUGAAUUAUGAAGUUAUAAGGGGCAGCUGCCCACCUUGGGAAGAUGGGAACUAAAUGAGUUGGGGUUUCAAGGCUGAAGGUGGGGAAUUCCAGAGCUGAAGAUGAAAGAAAAUGGGGUGGUACGGAUGCUGAGGAUGGAAGUUUGAAAGAAGGAAGAAAAUAUAAGACAUUUGGAAGAGAAAAAAGAGGGAGUUUUUGAGAAAUCUGGGUAGAAAGAUUCGGUAGAAUGAGAACUGAAAGCGUGGGGGAAAAUUCUAGGGGUCUCUAAGGGUUUGGCACCUAGAGAGAAAGAAAAGAAAGGAGAAAGAAAAAAAAACUGGAAAGAGAAGUUUGAGAGGCUUAAAGAAAAACAGAGAGAACGGGAAAAAGAAGAAAAGAAAGAAAACAGAGGUCUGAGAAGAGGGGGGAGUAGUUUUGAAGAAGAAGGGAUUCGUGAAGAGAAAGAAAAUAGAGAACAAAGAGAUGAGAGGUUUCCAACAUGGGAGGUUUUGAGAGAAGGGUUGAGAAAACAAGAAGCGGAGAGCGAGAAAGUAGAACUGGAAUCCAAACCUAUUCUUGCUUGAGAUGAGAACCUACAGGUAUAUUUGUUGUGAUUCACUUACUUGCUUCCAUUUAUCGCUCUAUUUUUCAUCCACUUUUGUGGCUCUUGAACAUUGUUGGAUAGUUUGGUUGUGAAAUUAUGUUGCUACUAUGCUUUUCUUUCCAUUUGCUUUCAAUUUUCAUCAGAGGGUAAGCUUGGAUGUGAUUUCAGUUAUGCCACUGAUCAUAGAUCCUAUUGACUUCCACAUGAAAUGGGUUUCCAAUUGAUAAGUCUUUUGUUUGCUCUCCAUGACCUUCUCUGUUUUUUUUUUUUUUAAAUUUGGGGCUACCUAUCAAUGAUCUGGACUUAAACCCCAGGUCUUGUGGCUACAUGUAGAGGUUCCAUGUGGCUGAAAUUUCAAUUUGCUUCUUGGUGAUUCCAGUAGCUGCAUUGGGGGGGCUUUAGGUGGCUGAAUUUUAGCUGGAUUCAUAGGCUAUAGGAGGCUAAAAUUUCAGUUUGUUCCAUGAGAUUUAAGUAGCUGUAGGUGGGAGACUUCAGGUGAAUGAAAUUUCAGUUUGGUUUCAGGAGAUUUAGGUGGUUGCAUGUGGAUAUCCGUGUAGCUGAAUUUCCAGCUGGGUUUCUUGAGUUCAGGGGGGCUGCAUUGUUAGUUGAUUAAUGAGCUCCGUGGCCUUAGUUUUAAUAAGGUUAGGUGGCUCGGGUUUGGCCUUCUACAAGGAACACAUUACAUUGUUUCGGUCGAUUCUCCCUCAUCCGGGCUCGGAAUUGAGUAUCGUUUUUUGUUGUUGGAUUCCUUAUUCUUCGAGGAAUCUGCUGGUAAAGUUUCAGAAUUUUUCUCAAUCGGUUUAACCGGUUGGAAACCAGUUCAACAGGUUCUGCUAGGCAACCCAGUUUUAUAAACACAUUACAUUGUUUCGGCUGGUUCUCCCUCAUCCGAGCUCGGAAUUGAGCACUGUUUUUUUUUUUUUUUUGGAUUCCUUGUUCUUUGAGGAAUCUGCUAGUAAAGUUUCAGAAUUUUUCUCUAUCAGUUGAACCGGUCGGGAAUCGGUUCAUCAGGUUCUACUAGGCAGCCCUAGUUUUAACAUGUUUUGACCCUCAUUUUUGUUGUGGCUUGAGCCCUUGGGUUCCAAGGCACUUGUGGGCCACCUUUAGGGUCACAGUUCGGUUUGGUUAGAUUUCAUGUGAGCCCACUUCAUGGAUGGGAAGAAUAUGGAUUAAGUAAGCAUGGUUUGGUUUGAUGGAAUUUAGAGGAAUAUGUGCAAAAGAAAGCAAACCAUUUAUUUCAUUUCGACCUGCUUCCCUCCCUUUUGGGUAUGAGAUUUGAUGCUUAUUGAGAGUGCAUGUUGUAUGCUUGUAUUACUUGCCUCACCUAUUUCUUACAACGCAUGGCUGGGGACCACAGGUAUGCAAUUCGGCUUUGGAUAAUGAAAUUCACAUGAAUGCUUGGUGCACAAUUGCUAUGUAUAUUUGUUGUGCAUUUGAUCUUAUUGACUGAGCUCUUAUGCAGCGUUUGGCUGGGGACCUCAGGUAUGCACUCUGAUUUUGACUUGUUGAGUGUAUGUGCAUGCUAAAUACUAGGCGGGUCUAUGUGAUUCAUGUCAUUUGUUUUGCCCAAGGUUUGUCUGAUCUUUGACCCAUAUGCUCCCAUAUACCCAGUUCAUUACUAGAAACCAAGUUCCGAGCCUAAAGGGGUGCUACCUCGCAUGAGGUAUCUUCCCGAUAGGUAACCUGAUCCCCGGACCCAGAAUCUAGUUUUUGCAUACCGUUUUUUCCUAACUGGAGUCAUGCUAGGGUUUUUGUUCUUACUUAAAUUUUUCCCAUUUAAAAAUAAAAAUAAAAAGUAAGUGGCGACUCCAAACAAAACCGUUCCUCACUAGGACGAAUUUUUCAAAACUCGAAAACCAGUUUUCCCUUUCACAUUUAAAAUAACGAGUUGCGUCGGUCGGUGGAUCGGGUGAGGGUCCACAAGUUUGGCAUUCAAAGCCAUAUUUUCAAUUUGACGUUUAGAGCCAUAUUUUCAAUUUGACAUUCAGAGCCAUGAUUUCAAGUUAGCUUUUUGAGCCACAUUUUUAGCAUUCAGAGCUAUCUUGUCUAUCUUUAGUUUGGCGUUUAGAGCUAUUGAUUGUUUUUAGUUCAACAUUCAAAACCAUCAUAUUGCCACUUUUUUGGCGUUCAGAGCCACCAUCUCUUCUCAGUUAUGGCGUUUAGAGCCACCAUCUAUUUGCAGUUUGGCGUUUAGAGCCACCAUAUCUUCUUAGUUAUGACGUUCAAAGCCACCAUCUCUUCUUACUUAUGACGGUCAGAGUCAUCCUUCUCAGUCUGGUGUUCAGAGUUGUAUCUUUAGUUUGGCGUUUAGAGCUAUUGUUUGUUUUUAGUUCAACAUUCAGAGUCAUCAUGUCUUUUUUUCGUUUGGCGUUCAAAGUCGCGUCUUCAGUUUGGCAUUUAAAGUCGUGUCUUCAUUAUGGCAUUUAGAGUCAUUGUCUAGCUUGGCAUUUGAUGCCACCAUCUUUCUUUAGUUUUGGCGUUCAGAGCCGUUAUGCAUACUCAUUCAGGCAUUUAGAGUCACCAUAUUUCCUCGUCAUUCGGAGUCAUAGCUCCUAACAUUCAUAUUCACUGGCAUUUCAUAUCUUGCCUUCACGAUUUUGCAUUAGUCCUCAUUUUCCCUACCUCAUUAUUUCGUGUUUAUCGCUUUUUCACCAUGUUCUUCUAGACUUCCCUUUCUGCUGCACAUGACACAGUCCUUUGAGCUCACGACACAUAUUUCGGUCAUAUUGUUGAGCACCCUACGCUUAGCAUUCUCAUGUAGUACACAUAUAGUCGUUAUUUUUGGACGCAUUCUUUCAUGUACUCAAGGUGGUUCGACCGUUACUCAUCUUUGACAUUGAUUUUCGAGUCACUUUUAGAGACGUCUUAGAAGGAGUCUGGGUCUUUGAUGCGGCUUCAAAGGCACUUUUCUUAUAGUCACUUUUCUCUUAGGAUUUUUAAGCCAUUUUAUGUAUUUGUUGGCCUGAGCGAGUUCAUGUCUUACUAGUGUCCCUUUGGGGGUCUCUUUUGUUCUUCGGUAGAGUUCACUUCAUUCCACUCACUAUCCACACUUUUUUUUCACUCUAGCGUUCAUAUUUCUUGCACUCAGGAGCUCUACCGAAGAGGGGAAUAAGUAUAAGCCAAAAUUUGAGGAUUUGGUAAAGUCACCCAUGUGUCUUAAAUCACAUUAACCAGUAAAUUAUAUAAUCUUAGCCGAAGGUCAAAAACAAUAAAAUUAAUCUCAAAGUGAAGAUUAAAUCGAAACCUCAGAGGUUUUUUUUAUUUUUAAUUUCGAGGCUUGUGUCAAGCACAUGAAACCUUAGUCCUUGAACAAGCAUUAACAUUUGUUUUUUCCUUUUUAAUUUCUAGUCCUACCGACUAUGCACCAUAGGAAUGGGGCUUAACUUCAACUUGUUAUAAUUAAUAUCUGUGCACAUUCAAAAUUUGUUCAUACACUGAGGCACUAUUGUCUUUUUUUUUUUUUUUUGGUUAGAAACAACUUAUUUUUAGAUUUGAAAUCUUUUUAUUUACUUAUUAUUUAUUUUUAAAUUUUUUUAAUUGAAUAAAAAAAUUAAAACAUUUGAAAUUUUUUUUUUUAAUGAAUGCCAAAAGUAACAAGUUAAAACCAAUUAGUAUAAUCUAUUAAAAUCGACUACCAAAACACAAUCCGAAAAAACUAACCUUUUCCUCAUCAUUAUUCAAUAUAAUUGAAAUGAACCUAUUAUUUUCUUUUUUCUUUUUUAAAUAUUUAAUAAAAAUAAAAUAUUAAAAAAAUUAAUUAAUGUUUAGCAUUAUUAAGCAUUAUUUAAUUUUAAGUUAUAUUUUGAAUUAAAUUAAAAAUAAAAAUAAAAAACCACCUAAGUCAAGAGGACAAGUGUGUGGUGAAAAAAACUUCUUUUGAUCACCUUUGUCCAUAACAUACUAAACUUUUUUCCUUUUUAAUCAGAACGAAUUCAGUAUCCUUACUCCAUGAUUUGGAUUUAUUGCGGGGGGACCAUCUCUCAAAUUGAAAUGUAUAGUAUAUCAUCUUUUUCUUUGGUCUAUAGGCUUGAAAAAUUAAAUUAUUGUUCCUUUUCCUAUAACAAUACUGUAAAUUAAUGAACAAUUAAUAAGUCUUCUCUAAUUAUAAAAAAUUAGAUGUAUAGGCCAUGCAUCUUCUCUACUUCAUUUGAAAGAUGAUGUAUAUAUGAAUGGAAUACCAUUCUUUGAUUCCAAAUAAGAUAAAUCUUAUUCAAACCACUACCACACUUCCUGUGAUGUCCUUUUUCAAUGGCUUAGACUCCUUUGUUUCUUUUUUUUUUUUCCCUUUUUUUUUCGUUCUUAUCCUUUAUUUAACCAAAAAAAAAAAAGGAUUAAAAGACCAACAAGACAAGCAGGUAGAAUCAGCCAAAUGGCAGUUGAAAACUUGAAAUGGAAUCUAACCUAGGAGAAGCAGAAGCAUGUGGUUGUUCAAAUCCUGUUUUCUGAAUAUGUUUGCAUGACAUUUAUAUAUACAAAUUAAGGAAACAAUCAACAAACACAAAGCCAUAAAUUACAGUAUUAUUAUUGUCUGAACAAAUUAAAUAAUAAUUAAACAGGGAGCAAUCAUGAAUCUUGCAACACAAGCAUACAAACAAUAGCAAUCCCAGUUGCUAAAACCCCACAUGAACAAAGAGCUAUAGCAUUGAGAACUUCAAACCAAACAUAUUAAAAACGUUACCUUUAGUUAACUAGAGCACAUUCUUUCCUAAUCUCACCAGACGAGCCGGUGAGAACUCCAAUUCUUCCCAUUUUAAUCAUGGACACACCAAAGUCCUCGAAGAAAGUAGAUCCAUGGGUAGUGGCCUGGAGCUUCACAUAAGCUUUUGUCUCACUGUCAUCCAGGAGAGCUGCAUCAGACACAAAAAGCCCUCUUCUUUUACCCACAAGUGUGUAGUAGCUCUCAUCAAAUGUCUUGAAGCUUCCAGGGUCCAUCUCUACAAGUGAAUUGGCAUCUCCUUGCUUGCAUUUGUUUUUCAACUUUGCUAUGUACUUUGGAUCCAAAUCCGGAUCAGUGUCGCCCUUUCCAGUGAAGUUGUAAAGGCGGCUUGAGAAGGAGGAGCAGUGAGAAGUCCCAAGGGUGUGCCCACCUAAGUAGUAGAACAGCUUGAAUGUAUUAGUCUUGUUAAUUUCCAUAUGUCAUCAAAGUCUUUAUAUAUUUGGCACUCAAACAUACCUGAUAACACCACUAGGUCUUUUACACUUAGACCCCUUUGUUGAAACCCUGAUUUCAAUUGGGUUAUGUUUGCAGUAGGCGGUAUAAGAUUUGUUAAGGCCUCUGUAAUAUUUGACACCCUUCCAUCUCUUCUUCCAGUUUCAACUUUCCAGGAUGGUCCUUUCAUCUGAAACCAUUCUACGCAGUUAACAACUUAUCAUUCAAAUUCUUAAUCCAUGUAUGCGUAUAUAUACAUAUAAAGAUCAUAUAACAUUAAUUACCGCGACGACCACAUCUCUAGCUACUAGGGCUAAGAUGUCAGAGCAUGAAACCACUCCAGGACAUGCUUUUUCUAAUGCAGACUUGACUCUAUCAAUAACUUGAUAUCCUCUAAGGCUUAAGUUUGGAAAUGCAUCUUUUUCAGCUUGCUGUGUCGAUGAGUUUAGCAGCACUGAACCCUCACAGCCCUGCAGACAC
RNAcentral lists this long non-coding RNA (20136 nucleotides) under Vitis vinifera (wine grape). RNAcentral describes it as "long non-coding RNA (VVIN_LNC003068)". The record is from RNAcentral. Lineage: Eukaryota; Viridiplantae; Streptophyta; Magnoliopsida; Vitales; Vitaceae.